Camelus ferus (Wild Bactrian camel) is the source of this 72-nucleotide transfer RNA. It matches the Rfam family "tRNA". From Rfam's summary of the family: Transfer RNA (tRNA) molecules are approximately 80 nucleotides in length. The record is from Rfam. NCBI's taxonomy places the organism in Eukaryota, Metazoa, Chordata, Mammalia, Artiodactyla, Camelidae.
GAGGGUAUAGCUCAGUGGUAAAGUGCAUGCCUAGCACGCACAAGGUCCUGGGUUUAAUUCCCACUACCUCUG